GUCCAGAGAUGGGAAUCGAACCCACAAUGUUCCGCUUACCGGGCAGAUUCCAUGUCCACUAGGCUACCCUGGA
Molecule: transfer RNA, 73 nt
Filed under: Cordylochernes scorpioides
Lineage: Eukaryota; Metazoa; Arthropoda; Arachnida; Pseudoscorpiones; Chernetidae
Description: tRNA-Thr
Source: RNAcentral